CGCUCAUCCAGAGGGGCAGAGGGAUACGGCCCGAUGAAGCCCCGGCAACCCUCCAGUCGGUUCUCGUAGCGAUCGCUGACGAUCGUCUCCGCGAGGCUCCCGACUCGGGAAGGUGCCAAAUCCGUCUCACGGCGAGAUGCGUCGUGAGGAAGAUGAGGA
This is a non-coding RNA of Streptomyces sviceus ATCC 29083, 159 nucleotides long. Lineage: Bacteria; Bacillati; Actinomycetota; Actinomycetes; Kitasatosporales; Streptomycetaceae. The record is from Rfam.